This 486-nucleotide ribosomal RNA is filed under the name uncultured bacterium. RNAcentral describes it as "partial 16S ribosomal RNA". It matches the Rfam family "Bacterial small subunit ribosomal RNA", at positions 30 to 507 of the family's 1533-position model. The record is from RNAcentral.
AUUGAACGCUGGCGGCAUGCCUUACACAUGCAAGUCGAACGGCAGCACGGGUGCUUGCACCUGGUGGCGAGUGGCGAACGGGUGAGUAAUACAUCGGAACAUGUCCUGUAGUGGGGGAUAGCCCGGCGAAAGCCGGAUUAAUACCGCAUACGAUCUACGUAUGAAAGCGGGGGACCUUCGGGCCUCGCGCUAUAGGGUUGGCCGAUGGCUGAUUAGCUAGUUGGUGGGGUAAAGGCCUACCAAGGCGACGAUCAGUAGCUGGUCUGAGAGGACGACCAGCCACACUGGAACUGAGACACGGCCCAGACUCCUACGGGAGGCAGCAGUGGGGAAUUUUGGACAAUGGGCGAAAGCCUGAUCCAGCAAUGCCGCGUGUGUGAAGAAGGCCUUCGGGUUGUAAAGCACUUUUGUCCGGAAAGAAAUCCUUGGCCCUAAUACGGUCGGGGGAUGACGGUACCGGAAGAAUAAGCACCGGCUAACUACGUG